CGCUAACCCCCCCUACCCUAACCUCCCCUCCCCUCCCCUAACCUCACCCCCCCCUACACUCCCCUCCCAACCCCCCAACCCACCUUCCUUUUUUUUCAACCAUUUUUUUUUUUUUUUUUACCAAAUUUUUUUUUUUUUUUUUUUUUUUUUAUAUUUUUUUUUUUUUUUUUGACCCGCAUGGAGGCGUUUAGCAACCCGAAAUAGCCAAAGUCACUCCUGCCGUUCACCCCGCGGAGACUUAAAAAAAAAAAAUGAAAAAAAAAAAAAAAAAAAAAAAAAAAAUCCUUGGUUAGGAGAUGGGGACAGAGGGAAUCUCUUCGAUCCGUUCGUGCGCGUCGCUAAUCGCAUGCCGAGAAGCGUUUAGCAACCCGAAAAUAGCCAAAGUUACUCCUGCCGUUCACCCGCGGUGACUUAAAAAAAAUAAAAAUGAAAAAAAAAAAAAAAAAAAAAAAAAAAAAAAAAAAAAAAAAAACAACGUCCGGCAUGGGUUGGAGAGAAAAAAAAUGAAAAAGAGGGGAAAAAAAAAAAAAAAAAAAACACCCGUUCCGGGGUGCCAGAAGAAAACGGUUAAGCCCUCAAGAGGAGAUGCGGGGAGCGAAGAGCACGGACUAAGCGAGUGCCCGGGUCGCCGCCGUCCGCGGGACGGGCCCUUGCCGGCGGUGGCGGGGUGGCCGCGGCUUUCCCCGUCGGCCCGCCUCGGCACUUAGGAAAAUGAUGCGCGACAGCCGCCGGAGAGACGGUCGCGCUCGAGCCUCGCCGGGGCCUCGCCGGGUGGGUGGGUCCGAGGCGGCCGGCCCGCUUCGGCACUUAGGAAUUACGCGCGAAGACGACCGACGACCGGCGGGAGACGGUCACGCUCGAGCCCCUGGGGCGGGACUCGGCGGAUCCGGCGAUCCGUGCCGCUCGGGUCCCGGGGACCGGAGUCGGCGGCACGACCGCUGCCCGCGAAGGCUCGGGCGCCGGGCGGGAGAUAACUUCUGGCAGCGCGAAGGGUCCCGUCCAGACGACAGGACGGACCGUUCGGGCACGUAGUCGGAGCGUCCGGGCCGCCGCGA
This 1055-nucleotide long non-coding RNA is filed under the name Bemisia tabaci. RNAcentral describes it as "lncRNA ENSSWEETPG008621". The record is from RNAcentral. Lineage: Eukaryota; Metazoa; Arthropoda; Insecta; Hemiptera; Aleyrodidae.